GAUUGUAAAAACCCUAAGGUAGCAGGGGACAGUUUCGCACUAUAGGCCCGGUCAACUUUUUCAAAAAAUGGAAUUACCCUGUAUUUGAAGUGAUAUUACAUGUGUAAAAAUGUAUACAAUAAUUUUAGGAUGCAUGUCAAAUGUAGCUGAGUGCUUAGUAAAAAUGUUGAUAUACAACAUGUAGGUGUCACCAUGAUUCCUAGCAUAUAGAUGGGUGCAAAUACGAAACUAAGACACGUGGUCAGUUGCUGAAGAAAUUCCGGUGAAAACAUGCAGGGUCUAGCAAAAGGUCUGUAGCUGUGAGGGAAGGUGGAUGGCCCCAUAUGAGAGAUGUAUCACAUUAGUGUCACAAUGGUAGACAACAGAGUCAAGGGGGGUGUCACCAUGAUUCCUAGCAUAUAGAUGGGUGCAAAUACGAAACUAAGACACGUGGUCAGUUGCUGAAGAAAUUCCGGUGAAAACAUGCAGGGUCUAGCAAAAGGUCUGUAGCUGUGAGGGAAGGUGGAUGGCCCCAUAUGAGAGAUGUAUCACAUUAGUGUCACAAUGGUAGACAACAGAGUCAAGGGGGGUGUCACCAUGAUUCCUAGCAUAUAGAUGGGUGCAAAUACGAAACUAAGACACGUGGUCAGUUGCUGAAGAAAUUCCGGUGAAAACAUGCAGGGUCUAGCAAAAGGUCUGUAGCUGUGAGGGAAGGUGGAUGGCCCCAUAUGAGAGGUAGAUUUUUGAGAAGGGCAGAUAGGGUUCUUGAUUGUGCACAGUGUCUAAAUCCCCAUGUUUGGUACUGUGAUGGUGUGGGGGUGGUGCGGAUUAGCCCAAAUGAGGGAAAAUCAAAGCAAAAAAGGGGAACCUGCUCAGAGCAUGUUUUGUGCACCAGCACCAGUAUUUAUAGAUUACAUGUAAUUUAGGGUCAUAAUUUAUUAACUACACUAAUAUGAAAUACAAGUAUUGACAUAAAAGGGAAAUAUGAUUUUUCAUUAGUCUGUCAUAAUCUGACUUUGGUGUAUACCCCCUAUCCACAUGUUUCAAAACCAAAGAAACUGUCCCCU
Ostrea edulis (European flat oyster) is the source of this 1046-nucleotide long non-coding RNA. RefSeq lists it as uncharacterized. The transcript is spliced from 5 exons. Lineage: Eukaryota; Metazoa; Mollusca; Bivalvia; Ostreida; Ostreidae. The record is from RefSeq and is a predicted model, not a curated record.